UGGGGAAUAUUGCACAAUGGAGGGAACUCUGAUGCAGCGACGCCGCGUGAACGAAGAAGGCUUUCGAGUCGUAAAGUUCUUUUAUAUGGGAAGAUAAUGACGGUACCAUAAGAAAAAGCCCCGGCUAACUACGUGCCAGCAGCCGCGGUAAUACGUAGGGGGCUAGCGUUGUCCGGAAUCACUGGGCGUAAAGGGUUCGCAGGCGGAAAUGCAAGUCAGGUGAAAAGGCAGUAGCUUAACUACUGUAAGCAUUUGAAACUGCAUAUCUUGAGAAGAGUAGAGGUAAGUGGAAUUUUUAGUGUAGCGGUGAAAUGCGUAGAUAUUAAAAAGAAUACCGGUGGCGAAGGCGACUUACUGGGCUCAUUCUGACGCUGAGGAACGAAAGCGUGGGUAGCAAACAGG
RNAcentral lists this ribosomal RNA (402 nucleotides) under Verrucomicrobiota bacterium. RNAcentral describes it as "Verrucomicrobia bacterium partial 16S ribosomal RNA". It matches the Rfam family "Bacterial small subunit ribosomal RNA", at positions 355 to 776 of the family's 1533-position model. Lineage: Bacteria; Pseudomonadati; Verrucomicrobiota. The record is from RNAcentral.